UAUUCAAUUUCAUUUUUCACAGCUGGUGCCUAUCCUUAUUAUUUUGGCACCUCUAACCUAGCAUGUGUUAUAAAGGAGACUAUAGGCAGGAAAAAACGUAGUUUUCCCUCAAGGGGAACUUGGAGUUUAACCCACCGUUUCAUUGAGUAUCGAGGGAAAUACUAUGAUUUUCAAGCUAAUUCCAGAGUGGCAAUCUCUAAAAAACGAUUAUGGGGGAGUGCAUGUAGCGGGGGUCGAGAAUCAUCCCCAGCUGGGUACAGCGAGCUCAGUUCAGAAUGUAUUGAUGGAUGUGCCAGGAAUUACAGAUGUUUUUACCACAAUUACAACAUCUUCACCAACAACUGCCAUCACUUUGCCAACAAGAUAUCUGAAGUUUUAUGUAGAAGAGGUACAACCUGCCCUGCCUGGUGUGAAGGAAGCUGUAACGAUGCGGUGUACAUUGAGUGAUGAAAUUUUGAUAUGGAAUCACGUUGAGUGCCACCUUUUGGUGUUUUUAAAUGCUUCAUAGAUAAACAAUUAAAUAAAGAUGACUUAUUUGGUAAAGAGAAACGCUUAAAUCUCCUAUACUCCUGAUUUGAAUUGUGCUUGAAAUAAACCUAUA
Saccostrea cuccullata (small rock oyster) is the source of this 601-nucleotide long non-coding RNA. RefSeq lists it as uncharacterized. NCBI's taxonomy places the organism in Eukaryota, Metazoa, Mollusca, Bivalvia, Ostreida, Ostreidae. The transcript has 3 exons. The record is from RefSeq and is a predicted model, not a curated record.